This is a long non-coding RNA of Morone saxatilis (striped sea-bass), 208 nucleotides long. RefSeq lists it as uncharacterized. Lineage: Eukaryota; Metazoa; Chordata; Actinopteri; Moronidae. The transcript has 3 exons. The record is from RefSeq and is a predicted model, not a curated record.
GCAUCCACUGUACAAGCUCCUCAUACCCCACACUCGCUACACUCUGCAGAUCAACUACUUGGCUCGACUUGUUCUAAUAUCUGAGAGUGGAGUUUUCACACAGUUUGCAGCUUCUGGUGGAGAGGGUUUGAUCACAAUCCUGAGGAGAUCACUGUCCUCACUGACCUACAGCUCCCUCUGUAUACCAGAUGACAUUGCUGAGCGUGGG